RNAcentral lists this ribosomal RNA (1382 nucleotides) under uncultured bacterium. RNAcentral's name for it is "bacterial SSU rRNA". It matches the Rfam family "Bacterial small subunit ribosomal RNA", at positions 28 to 1381 of the family's 1533-position model. The record is from RNAcentral.
GAUGAACGCUGGCGGCGUGCCUAAUACAUGCAAGUCGAGCGAACGGACGAGAAGCUUGCUUCUCUGAUGUUAGCGGCGGACGGGUGAGUAACACGUGGAUAACCUACCUAUAAGACUGGGAUAACUUCGGGAAACCGUAGCUAAUACCGGAUAAUAUUUUGAACCGCAUGGUUCAAAAGUGAAAGACGGUCUUGCUGUCACUUAUAGAUGGAUCCNGCGCNNNUGCAUUAGNCNUNNAGUUGGUAAGGUAACGGCUUACCAAGGCAACGAUGCAUAGCCGACCUGAGAGGGUGAUCGGCCACACUGGAACUGAGACACGGUCCAGACUCCUACGGGAGGCAGCAGUAGGGAAUCUUCCGCAAUGGGCGAAAGCCUGACGGAGCAACGCCGCGUGAGUGAUGAAGGUCUUCGGAUCGUAAAACUCUGUUAUUAGGGAAGAACAUAUGUGUAAGUAACUGUGCACAUCUUGACGGUACCUAAUCAGAAAGCCACGGCUAACUACGUGCCAGCAGCCGCGGUAAUACGUAGGUGGCAAGCGUUAUCGGGAAUUAUUGGGCGUAAAGCGCGCGUAGGCGGUUUUUUAGUCUGAUGUGAAAGCCCACGGCCUCAACCGUGGAGGGUCAUUGGAAACUGGAAAACUUGAGUGCAGAAGAGGAAAGUGGAAUUCCAUGUGUAGCGGUGAAAUGCGCAGAGAUAUGGAGGAACACCAGCGGCGAAUGCGACUUUGUGGUCUGUAACUGACGCUGAUGUGCGAAAGCGUGGGGAUCAAACAGGAUUAGAUACCCUGGUAGUCCACGCCGAAAACGAUGAGUGCUAAGUGUUAGGGGGUUUCCGCCCCUUAGUGCUGCAUCUAACGCAUUAAGCACUCCGCCUGGGGAGUACGACCGCAAGGUUGAAACUCAAAGGAAUUGACGGGGACCCGCACAAGCGGUGGAGCAUGUGGUUUAAUUCGAAGCAACGACGAAGAACCUUACCAAAUCUUGACAUCCUUUGACAACUCUAGAGAUAGAGCCUUCCCCUUCGGGGGACAAAGUGACAGGUGGUGCAUGGUUGUCGUCAGCUCGUGUCGUGAGAUGUUGGGUUAAGUCCCGCAACGAGCGCAACCCUUAAGCUUAGUUGCCAUCAUUAAGUUGGGCACUCUAAGUUGACUGCCGGUGACAAACCGGAGGAAGGUGGGGAUGACGUCAAAUCAUCAUGCCCCUUAUGAUUUGGGCUACACACGUGCUACAAUGGACAAUACAAAGGGCAGCGAAACCGCGAGGUCAAGCAAAUCCCAUAAAGUUGUUCUCAGUUCGGAUUGUAGUCUGCAACUCGACUACCUUGAAGCUGGGAUCUCUAGUAAUUGUAAAUCGGCAUGCUACCGUGAAUACGUUCCCGGGACA